This 422-nucleotide RNase P RNA is filed under the name Bradyrhizobium jicamae. Its description in RNAcentral is "bacterial RNase P". It matches the Rfam family "Bacterial RNase P class A". From Rfam's summary of the family: Ribonuclease P (RNase P) is a ubiquitous endoribonuclease, found in archaea, bacteria and eukarya as well as chloroplasts and mitochondria. Its best characterised activity is the generation of mature 5'-ends of tRNAs by cleaving the 5'-leader elements of precursor-tRNAs. Lineage: Bacteria; Pseudomonadati; Pseudomonadota; Alphaproteobacteria; Hyphomicrobiales; Nitrobacteraceae. The record is from RNAcentral.
UCAGUCGGCCGGACGGCCGCUCCCGCUACGGUCGAAAGGCUGCGGGGGAGGAAAGUCCGGGCUCCAUCGACAUACGGUGCCGGAUAACGUCCGGCGGGGGCAACCCCAGGGAAAGUGCCACAGAGAACGAACCGCUUCCCCACCCGAAAGGGAGGGCAGUAAGGGUGAAAAGGUGCGGUAAGAGCGCACCGCGUAUCCGGCAACGGAAACGGCAUGGCAAACCACACCGGGAGCAAAACCGAAUAGGGACGGCAACGCGGUAAGUUCGCCGCAAGGCGAUAACACCGCAGGGCGAUGUCAGGCCCGCCGUCCGGGUAGGUUGCUCGAGGCCAUGUGCAAGCAUGGUCCCAGAGGAAUGGCCGUCACGUACCGUUCGAAAGAACGGUGCCCUACAGAACCCGGCUUACAGGCUGGCUGAUAUC